RNAcentral lists this ribosomal RNA (274 nucleotides) under uncultured bacterium. Its description in RNAcentral is "partial 16S ribosomal RNA". It matches the Rfam family "Bacterial small subunit ribosomal RNA", at positions 523 to 796 of the family's 1533-position model. The record is from RNAcentral.
AUACGUAGGGGGCGAGCGUUGUCCGGAUUUACUGGGUAUAAAGGGCUCGCAGGCGGGCUUGUAAGUCAGAGGUGAAAUCCUACAGCUUAACUGUAGAACUGCCUUUGAAACUGCAAGUCUUGAGAUCGGAAGAGAGAGAUGGAAUUCCAGGUGUAGUGGUGAAAUACGUAGAUAUCUGGAAGAACACCAAUGGCGAAGGCAGUCUCUUGGUCCGCAUCUGACGCUGAGGAGCGAAGGCGUGGGUAGCGAACAGGAUUAGAAACCCGAGUAGUCC